This 434-nucleotide ribosomal RNA is filed under the name uncultured bacterium. RNAcentral describes it as "partial 16S ribosomal RNA". It matches the Rfam family "Bacterial small subunit ribosomal RNA", at positions 341 to 792 of the family's 1533-position model. RNAcentral also lists the same sequence under 1 other name. The record is from RNAcentral.
ACGGAAGGCAGCAGUGGGGAAUAUUGCACAAUGGGGGAAACCCUGAUGCAGCGACGCCGCGUGAGCGAAGAAGUAUUUCGGUAUGUAAAGCUCUAUCAGCAGGGAAGAAAAUGACGGUACCUGACUAAGAAGCCCCGGCUAACUACGUGCCAGCAGCCGCGGUAAUACGUAGGGGGCAAGCGUUAUCCGGAUUUACUGGGUGUAAAGGGAGCGUAGACGGCAAGGUAAGUCUGAAGUGAAAUGCCGGGGCUCAACCCCGGAACUGCUUUGGAAACUAUCUCGCUCGAGUACCGGGGGGGUAAGCGGAAUUCCUAGUGUAGCGGUGAAAUGCGUAGAUAUUAGGAGGAACACCAGUGGCGAAGGCGGCUUACUGGACGGUAACUGACGUUGAGGCUCGAAAGCGUGGGGAGCAAACAGGAUUAGAUACCCUGGUA